GUGGGGCCCAAUCAGUCACUAAUUUGUAAACUUACAAGUGUUUUACACGCACCUGUGUGUUCAGUACCCAGGAGACAGUGUAGUGACCGGACAGGGACGGAUCAAUGGCAGACUGGUGUAUGUUUUCAGCCAGGACUUCACAGUGUUUGGAGGCAGUUUAUCAGGAGCUCACGCUCAGAAGAUCUGCAAGGUCAUGGACCAGGCGAUGAUGGUGGGAGCUCCAGUAAUUGGUCUGAAUGACUCUGGUGGAGCACGCAUUCAGGAAGGGGUAGAGUCCUAGUGGCGAUGUUCAGUAGACUUUCACAGAAGUUCUAGAGAAGUAGGUUAUUACA
Long non-coding RNA from Carassius gibelio (silver crucian carp), 332 nucleotides. RefSeq lists it as uncharacterized. The transcript is spliced from 3 exons. Lineage: Eukaryota; Metazoa; Chordata; Actinopteri; Cypriniformes; Cyprinidae. The record is from RefSeq and is a predicted model, not a curated record.